RNAcentral lists this ribosomal RNA (325 nucleotides) under uncultured bacterium. Its description in RNAcentral is "bacterial SSU rRNA". It matches the Rfam family "Bacterial small subunit ribosomal RNA", at positions 28 to 352 of the family's 1533-position model. The record is from RNAcentral.
GACGAACGCUGGCGGCGUGCUUAACACAUGCAAGUCGAGCGAGGCCCUUCCUUCGGGAAGGUGUCCUAGCGGCGAACGGGUGAGUAACACGUGGGCAACCUGCCCUCAGCUCUGGGGAUAACUCCGGGAAACCGGGGCUAAUACCGGAUACGACUUCACCAGGCAUCUUGUGAAAGUGGAAAGUUUUUCGGCUGAGGAUGGGCCCGCGGCCUAUCAGCUAGUUGGUGGGGUGACGGCCUACCAAGGCGACGACGGGUAGCCGGCCUGAGAGGGUGACCGGCCACACUGGGACUGAGACACGGCCCAGACUCCUACGGGAGGCAGC